RNAcentral lists this ribosomal RNA (357 nucleotides) under uncultured Oscillospiraceae bacterium. RNAcentral describes it as "partial 16S ribosomal RNA". The record is from RNAcentral. Lineage: Bacteria; Bacillati; Bacillota; Clostridia; Eubacteriales; Oscillospiraceae.
GGAGUCUGGGCCGUGUCUCAGUCCCAAUGUGGCCGAUCAACCUCUCAGUUCGGCUACUGAUCGCAGACUUGGUGGGCCAUUACCCCGCCAACUAUCUAAUCAGACGCGAAUUCAUCCUACAGCAAACUCUUACGAGCCCCUUUAAUAUAAACUUCAUGCGAAACCUAUAUGUCAUUGGGUAUUAGCGUCCAUUUCUAGCCGUUGUCCCCAUCUGUAGGGCAGAUUAUUCACGUGUUACUCACCCGUCCGCCACUAAGCAACAUCUGAUCCUUCCGAAGAAUUCACAAAUGCGCCCCGUUCGACUUGCAUGUGUUAGGCGCGCCGCCAGCGUCGUCCUCGAGCCACUGAUCAAACUCU